GACGAACGCUGGCGGCGUGCUUAACACAUGCAAGUCGAACGGUGAUGCCCCAGCUUGCUGGAGUGGAUCAGUGGCGAACGGGUGAGUAACACGUGAGCAACCUGCCCCAGACUCUGGAAUAAGCGCUGGAAACGGCGUCUAAUACUGGAUACGAAACUGGCCCGCAUGGGCAUGGUUUGGAAGGUUUUUCGGUUUGGGAUGGGCUCGCGGCCUAUCAGCUUGUUGGUGAGGUAAUGGCUCACCAAGGCGACGACGGGUAGCCGGCCUGAGAGGGCGACCGGCCACACUGGGACUGAGACACGGCCCAGACUCCUACGGGAGGCAGCAGUGGGGAAUAUUGCACAAUGGGCGAAAGCCUGAUGCAGCGACGCCGCGUGAGGGAUGACGGCCUUCGGGUUUUAAACCUCUUUCAGCAGGGAAGAAGCGAAAGUGACGGUACCUGCAGAAGAAGCACCGGCUAACUACGUG
RNAcentral lists this ribosomal RNA (468 nucleotides) under uncultured bacterium. Its description in RNAcentral is "partial 16S ribosomal RNA". It matches the Rfam family "Bacterial small subunit ribosomal RNA", at positions 28 to 507 of the family's 1533-position model. The record is from RNAcentral.